This is a long non-coding RNA of Astatotilapia calliptera (eastern happy), 1265 nucleotides long. NCBI's taxonomy places the organism in Eukaryota, Metazoa, Chordata, Actinopteri, Cichliformes, Cichlidae. The record is from Ensembl.
AAACUUUAUUAUAAGUCAGUUUUUCAUUGUUUUGCACACAAUACUGCAUGUUAACACAACACUAAGUCAUGUGACUCAACACCUGUCCCCCACCUUUGCUCUUUGAUCGACAGCAGAAAUCAAAGUGUCUUAAAAAAUCUUCCAUCGCUAAAUGAAACGGUGCCUGUGCAGCAGCUCGAGUUCAACCUUGUGAGAAGGAAACAUGUAAAGCACACGGAAGCUGAGCUGUCACUACUUCAUAUUCCAGCUCGUGUACAACGUGAUAAUUGUGCACACUUACUAAUAAAAACACUUUGAUUGUGUAAAUAUCAUUACAUUAAAAUUCAAUUAGAGAGGUGUAGUUUGAUUCUUACACAGAAAGCAACACAAGUGCUUUCAGUCACAGUAAAAUGUUCAAAAAUAAAUGAUUCAUUUCAUCAUUUUCUAAUAUUAGAUUUAAAGGUUUUCGGUUAAAAUUAGCCAAAAAAGUAAAAACUUUAACGUUCACCAUCAUUAUCAGCAGGUUAGCACAUCACUGUCAAAAACUAAACUAUACACAGUAGCUGCGUUUGGCCUCAUUGGUACUUUUAAAUGGAUUUUCCUGUUAUUACUGUGCAACUACCCGCUGUCAGUGCCGAGCUUUGCUUGGUUAGUCCGUGGUAUUAUAUUAUUAAAUACCUCAGUUAUUACCAUGUUGUUAAUGAGCUGCAUGCAGAGAACUGUGAAAACAUGCUGAAUGAACAUAUGUGUAAAAAUGCAGGUUUAAGUUAUCACACACGGCUGUUUGGACACUUCUGAUCCCUCUGAAGGAUUUCACUAACCAACACCAAGAGGUGUGGCCGUAUCUGUGACAGCGUCCUACAAACGUUUGGAUGCUUCAGUAAUUUGCAAUAAACCUAAAAGACAACAAGCUUUUGUCUUCAUUUUUUAAAAACAUGAAGACAAACGGACAGGUGUUGUGACACAACGUGACCAAAAUCUAUCACCAUAAUCUAGAAAUUUCUCCAAAGAUGCUCCAUUUGUGCUUUUCAAUCUACUCGCACAUCGUCAUUUACAUGUGAACAUGCUUGAGAGUAGAACAGCCCCAUCACUGGGCACAUUGUAAACAUAAUUAUUACUCAUAUUAUUCACUACCAGGAAACAGAAACCACAAGGACCGCACAGUCCUGCAUGGAGAUUUGCAUGCAAAACAACAGUUCAUGCAUCUGCCUGACCUGGAGAUAAAAACUGUGGAGGAUGCAGACGUCUGUGAAGGCAGCGCACUUGUUCCUCUGGCAGAGAUCCGA